This 498-nucleotide ribosomal RNA is filed under the name uncultured bacterium. RNAcentral's name for it is "partial 16S ribosomal RNA". It matches the Rfam family "Bacterial small subunit ribosomal RNA", at positions 30 to 523 of the family's 1533-position model. The record is from RNAcentral.
AUUGAACGCUGGCGGCACGCCUUACACAUGCAAGUCGAACGGUAACAGGUCUUCGGAUGCUGACGAGUGGCGAACGGGUGAGUAAUACAUCGGAACGUGCCUAGUAGUGGGGGAUAACUACUCGAAAGAGUGGCUAAUACCGCAUGAGAUCUACGAAUGAAAGCAGGGGAUCGCAAGACCUUGUGCUACUAGAGCGGCCGAUGGCAGAUUAGGUAGUUGGUGGGAUAAAAGCUUACCAAGCCGACGAUCUGUAGCUGGUCUGAGAGGACGAUCAGCCACACUGGGACUGAGACACGGCCCAGACUCCUACGGGAGGCAGCAGUGGGGAAUUUUGGACAAUGGGCGAAAGCCUGAUCCAGCAAUGCCGCGUGCAGGAUGAAGGCCUUCGGGUUGUAAACUGCUUUUGUACGGAACGAAAAGCCCCGGGUUAAUACCCUGGGGUCAUGACGGUACCGUAAGAAUAAGCACCGGCUAACUACGUGCCAGCCGCCGCGGUAA